CGGAGAAGCAGUUCCCGGCGAUGUGGGGCCCGCAGGCUGGCCGGAUGGAGCAGGUGUAGCACCCGCAGGUUGGCCGGAUGGAGCAUGUGUAGGUGCGAGCCCCUCCGGAGGCGGUGCGGGUGGAGAAGUAACAGUUCCCGACUGUGUGGGGCCCGCAGGCCCGCCAGAUGGAGCAAGUAUGGGCCCCCCAGGCACGCCAGAAGGAGUAGGUGCGAGCCCCUCCGGAGGCGGUGCGGGUGGAGAAGUAGUUGGAGUAUAGCCUGACGCCGGAGAUGGCACCAUAGAAGUUGACGGCGACGGCGACGGUUGUGAUGACCCUGGCCCUGGUGAAGCAGAUGGAGGAGUUGUAAUCACUGGUGAUGGAGAUGGAGAG
This 373-nucleotide long non-coding RNA is filed under the name Malus domestica (apple). Its description in RNAcentral is "long non-coding RNA (MDOM_LNC010855)". Lineage: Eukaryota; Viridiplantae; Streptophyta; Magnoliopsida; Rosales; Rosaceae. The record is from RNAcentral.